Molecule: ribosomal RNA, 468 nt
Filed under: uncultured bacterium
Lineage: Bacteria
Description: partial 16S ribosomal RNA
Rfam family: Bacterial small subunit ribosomal RNA
Source: RNAcentral
GACGAACGCUGGCGGCGUGCUUAACACAUGCAAGUCGAACGGAAAGGCCCUGCUCUUGCGGCGUGCUCGAGUGGCGAACGGGUGUGUAACACGCGAGUAACCUGCCCCUGUCUUUGGGAUAACUUCAGGAAACUCGGGCUCAUACCGGGUAUGAGCUCCUGCUGCAUGUUGGGGGUUGGAAAGAUUCGGCGGUUGGGGCUGGACUGGCGGGUUAUCAGCUUGUUUGUGGAGUAGUGGCUUACCAAGGCUUUGACGGGUAGCCGGCAUGGGAGGGUGACCGGGGACAUGGGGACUGAGAUACGGAGCAGAAGGCUACGGGACGCAGCAGUGGAGAGUAUGGCGCAGUGAGCGGAAGCGUGAGGCGGCAGUGCCGGGUGCGGGAUGACGGGCUACGGGGUGUAAACCGAUUUCGCCUGUAACGAAGAGUGAGUGACGGUAAUGGGUAAAAAAGCACCGGCUAACUACGUG